RNAcentral lists this ribosomal RNA (292 nucleotides) under uncultured bacterium. RNAcentral's name for it is "partial 16S ribosomal RNA". It matches the Rfam family "Bacterial small subunit ribosomal RNA", at positions 505 to 796 of the family's 1533-position model. The record is from RNAcentral.
GUGUCAGCCGCCGCGGUAAGACGAAGGGGGCUAGCGUUGUUCGGAAUUACUGGGCGUAAAGCGAGUGUAGGUGGUUGUCGUAGUCAGGCGUGAAAGCCUUGAGCUCAACUCAAGAAAUGCGCUUGAUACUGGGCAGCUAGAGGACCGGAGAGGAUAGUGGAAUUCCCAGUGUAGUGGUGAAAUACGUAGAGAUUGGGAAGAACACCAGUGGCGAAGGCGGCUAUCUGGACGGUUUCUGACACUAAGACUCGAAAGCGUGGGGAGCAAACAGGAUUAGAAACCCGUGUAGUCC